This 601-nucleotide ribosomal RNA is filed under the name uncultured bacterium. Its description in RNAcentral is "bacterial SSU rRNA". It matches the Rfam family "Bacterial small subunit ribosomal RNA", at positions 324 to 916 of the family's 1533-position model. The record is from RNAcentral.
ACACGGUCCAGACUCCUACGGGAGGCAGCAGUGGGGAAUUUUGCGCAAUGGGCGAAAGCCUGACGCAGCAACGCCGCGUGGAGGAUGAAGGUCUUCGGAUUGUAAACUCCUGUCAGUGGGGAAAAAGGGGAACGGGCUCAUACCCCGUUUCAUUGAUUGUACCCGCAGAGGAAGCCCCGGCUAACUCUGUGCCAGCAGCCGCGGUAAUACAGAGGGGGCAAGCGUUAUUCGGAAUUAUUGGGCGUAAAGGGCGCGUAGGCGGCCCUUCAAGUGGUAGGUGAAAUCCCUCGGCUCAACCGAGGAGCUGCCCGCCAAACUGAAGAGCUUGAGUCCGGGAGAGGUGAGUGGAAUUCCCAGUGUAGCGGUGAAAUGCGUAGAUAUUGGGAGGAACACCAGUGGCGAAGGCGGCUCACUGGACCGGAACUGACGCUGAGGCGCGAAAGCGUGGGGAGCAAACGGGAUUAGAUACCCCGGUAGUCCACGCUGUAAACGAUGAGUGCUUGGUGUAGCGGGUAUCGACCCCUGCUGUGCCGAAGCUAACGCAUUAAGCACUCCGCCUGGGGAGUACGGUCGCAAGGCUGAAACUUAAAGGAAUUGACGG